This 382-nucleotide RNase P RNA is filed under the name Alteromonadaceae bacterium. RNAcentral's name for it is "partial RNase P RNA component class A". It matches the Rfam family "Bacterial RNase P class A", at positions 1 to 326 of the family's 367-position model. Rfam says of the family: Ribonuclease P (RNase P) is a ubiquitous endoribonuclease, found in archaea, bacteria and eukarya as well as chloroplasts and mitochondria. Its best characterised activity is the generation of mature 5'-ends of tRNAs by cleaving the 5'-leader elements of precursor-tRNAs. Lineage: Bacteria; Pseudomonadati; Pseudomonadota; Gammaproteobacteria; Alteromonadales; Alteromonadaceae. The record is from RNAcentral.
UGAGUUGNCUAGACAAUCGCUGCUUUAUCGUAAGUAUUUAAUGUUUUCAUUAAAUAAACGGAUAAAGGGGAGGAAAGUCCGGGCUCCGAAGAGCAGAGUGCCAGAUAACGUCUGGGCGGCGCAAGCCGACGACAAGUGCAGCAGAGAGAAAACCGCCGAUGACCGUUCUUUUUAUUAAGCGCGGCACAGGUAAGGGUGAAAGGGUGCGGUAAGAGCGCACCGGAUUGCUGGUAACAGUAAUUGCAGGGUAAACUCCACUCGGAGCAAGACCAAAUAGGGUUCCAGUACUCUUUAUUGAGUUAAUGCGCGGCUCGCGUUGGAACCGGGUAGGUUGCUUGAGCCUUAGAGCGAUUUAAGGCCUAGACGAAUGAUUGUCACUUUU